Molecule: ribosomal RNA, 254 nt
Filed under: uncultured bacterium
Lineage: Bacteria
Description: partial 16S ribosomal RNA
Rfam family: Bacterial small subunit ribosomal RNA
Source: RNAcentral
GACGUAGGGCGCGAGCGUUGUCCGGAUUUAUUGGGCGUAAAGAGCUCGUAGGCGGCUUGUUGCGUCGACUGUGAAAACCUGCGGCUCAACCGUGUGGUCUGCAGUCGAUACGGGCAGGCUGGAGUUCGGUAGGGGAGACUGGAAUUCCUGGUGUAGCGGUGAAAUGCGCAGAUAUCAGGAGGAACACCGGUGGCGAAGGCGACUACCUGGCCUGUUCUUGACGCUGAGGCGCGAAAGCUAGGGGAGCAAACGGG